GUAGGUGGCAAGCGUUGUCCGGAAUUAUUGGGGCGUAAAGCGCGCGCAGGCGGUUCUUUAAGUCUGAUGUGAAAGCCCACGGGCUCAACCGUGGAGGGUCAUUGGAAACUGGAGAACUUGAGUACAGAAGAGGAAAGCGGAAUUCCACGUGUAGCGGUGAAAUGCGUAGAGAUGUGGAGGAACACCAGAGGCGAAGGCGGCUUUCUGGUCUGUAACUGACGCUGAGGCGCGAAAGCGUGGGGAGCAAACAGGAUUAGAUACCCUGGUAGUCCACGCCGUAAACGAUGAGUGCUAAGUGUUAGGGGGUUUCCGCCCCUUAGUGCUGCAGCUAACGCAUUAAGCACUCCGCCUGGGGAGUACGGCCGCAAAGGCUG
RNAcentral lists this ribosomal RNA (374 nucleotides) under uncultured organism. Its description in RNAcentral is "partial 16S ribosomal RNA". It matches the Rfam family "Bacterial small subunit ribosomal RNA", at positions 527 to 896 of the family's 1533-position model. The record is from RNAcentral.